GAGACAGCAGUCGCCGCGGUAAUACGUAGGUGGCAAGCGUUGUCCGGAAUUAUUGGGCGUAAAGGGCUCGCAGGCGGUUUCUUAAGUCUGAUGUGAAAGCCCCCGGCUCAACCGGGGAGGGUCAUUGGAAACUGGGAAACUUGAGUGCAGAAGAGGAGAGUGGAAUUCCACGUGUAGCGGUGAAAUGCGUAGAGAUGUGGAGGAACACCAGUGGCGAAGGCGACUCUCUGGUCUGUAACUGACGCUGAGGAGCGAAAGCGUGGGGAGCGAACGGGAUUAGAUACCCCAGUAGUCCCUGUCUCUUAUAC
This 308-nucleotide ribosomal RNA is filed under the name uncultured bacterium. RNAcentral describes it as "partial 16S ribosomal RNA". It matches the Rfam family "Bacterial small subunit ribosomal RNA", at positions 505 to 807 of the family's 1533-position model. The record is from RNAcentral.